GACGAACGCUGGCGGCGUGCUUAAUACAUGCAAGUCGAGCGAGACUCUUGAUGAAGCUUGCGAUUCAAGAGUUUAGCGGCGGACGGGUGAGUAACGCGUGGGCAACCUGCCCUCUAGUCUGGGAUAACAGAGCGAAAGUUCUGCUAACACCGGAUAUGCUUACAGUCAGGCAUCUGAAGGUAAGGAAAGGAUACGCUAGAGGAUGGGCCCGCGUCCCAUUAGCUAGUUGGUGAGGUAACGGCUCACCAAGGCGACGAUGGGUAGCCGACCUGAGAGGGUGACCGGCCACACUGGGACUGAGACACGGCCCAGACUCCUACGGGAGGCAGCAGUAGGGUAAUUUUCCGCAAUGGGCGAAAGCCUGACGGAGCAACGCCGCGUGAGGGAAGAAGGUCUUCGGAUUGUAAACCUCUGUCCCACGGGACGAAAAAAAUGACGGUACCGGGGGAGGAAGCUCCGGCUAACUACGUG
Molecule: ribosomal RNA, 471 nt
Filed under: uncultured bacterium
Lineage: Bacteria
Description: bacterial SSU rRNA
Rfam family: Bacterial small subunit ribosomal RNA
Source: RNAcentral